CCGGUCGGCCUAUGGAACCACCAUUGUGUGCUCCGUGCAUUACGUCGAAAGCAAAUACGCCCUCUAAUCGGUGUGGUCUUGCACGCAUCGGUGGGGCUUGAUAGAAAUUCAAUCCUCGACGCUGAACCCUAACGAGAAAGCGAUGAUGACCCGGUGACCCCCAAAUCGUGAAAGCGUUAGGCGAAAGCAUCGGCAUUAGUUGGUUACGUCUGCUGGCUCCARCCCGGGUGUAAAUUAUCAAUCUCUUGAUAGUCUCAAGCCCGCGAUUACGAUUUUCAAGUGAUUAUCUUCCUGGAUCGUUGUCAACCGGGCUUGAUUGGUUCACAAGCUCGUGAUGGGUACCGUCACUUGUGGGUUUCGUUGCUGCCUGGUCUUGCUUAUAUAUAUGUGCGUGUCCGGACUCGUUUCGCAUGCCUCGUUCACGAUUUGAAUCCAUCGCUUUGCGUAGGAAUGGUGGGCUCGUUCCUUUAGGUGGCGUUGAUUAAGCGCGAGCUUUCGAUCAAUGGCCCAUAUAUGGAGUCNUUUGGUGUUUGUUGUGCGAGCAACAUGACCGACCGGUUCCUUCUACGUGGAUAUAUAUAAGCAAGCGAUGAUGCAACGGAACCGACAAGCCACGGUACCCCAUGGACCCUUCCUGACGGACCCUUCCCGACAGACCCUUCCUGAUGGACCCUUCCUGACGACGGUUUAUAUUCCUGAUUUUCCCAUCGUUCGGGGCAUUCUGGGGCUGUUUUGGCUAUUGGUUGCUUGUUUGGUCUUGAGCCGAACGGGUGGCUUCUAGCCUAGUGGCUUCGGGGAUGUUGAGCGUAAAGGUGGAUGAGUGGUGUUUGGUUUGUUACGUGUGGUUGGCUGCGGCGUUUGCAACAACUUCCAUGCUUUCAGACCUCUUCAUUUGUGCGGCAAGGCUUGUAUCGCCUUGAGCGUAUUGUGGGUUUUCUGUGUUGAAUACCUAAUCAAUGGUAUCGGUUGGAUUGAUCAAUGUUUCAUUUCGUCUGUCGUCGCAUUUGCGGCGUGAGAUGAACCUUGAUGCGGUCUCUUUGAUCCACCUUGUUGAAGCGUAUGCUUNGACGUUGUGGCGCAUUGAGCAUUGCUUGGUCUCUUGUAUGCGGAACAUGUAGUGGGCAUGAAUCUCACGAUUCUCGUUUGCCCUCAUAUUAGCGUAACGCUUCUCUUACACGACUUGCUCC
Molecule: unclassified non-coding RNA, 1187 nt
Filed under: Artemisia macarthuri
Lineage: Eukaryota; Viridiplantae; Streptophyta; Magnoliopsida; Asterales; Asteraceae
Description: partial external transcribed spacer
Source: RNAcentral